Molecule: ribosomal RNA, 369 nt
Filed under: Ardenna gravis (Great shearwater)
Lineage: Eukaryota; Metazoa; Chordata; Aves; Procellariiformes; Procellariidae
Description: partial 12S ribosomal RNA
Rfam family: Bacterial small subunit ribosomal RNA
Source: RNAcentral
CCCUAAAUCUUGAUACUUACCCUACCGAAGUAUCCGCCUGAGAACUACGAGCACAAACGCUUAAAACUCUAAGGACUUGGCGGUGCUCCAAACCCACCUAGAGGAGCCUGUUCUAUAAUCGAUAACCCACGAUAAACCCAACCGCUCUUUGCCAAAGCAGCCUACAUACCGCCGUCGCCAGCUCACCUUCCCUGAAAGAACAANNGUGAGCACAAUAGCCCACAGUACCGCUAACAAGACAGGUCAAGGUAUAGCCCAUAGAGCGGAAGAAAUGGGCUACAUUUUCUAGAAUAGAAAAUUUACGAAAAGGGGCAUGAAACUACCCCUAGAAGGCGGAUUUAGCAGUAAAGAGGGAUAAUAAGNGCCCUC